This 469-nucleotide ribosomal RNA is filed under the name uncultured microorganism. Its description in RNAcentral is "bacterial SSU rRNA". It matches the Rfam family "Bacterial small subunit ribosomal RNA", at positions 9 to 524 of the family's 1533-position model. The record is from RNAcentral.
GAGUUUGAUCGUGGCUCAGAACGAACGCUGGCGGCAUGCCUAACACAUGCAAGUCGAACGAACUCUUCGGAGUUAGUGGCGCACGGGUGCGUAACGCGUGGGAAUCUGCCCUUGGGUACGGAAUAACUCAGAGAAAUUUGUGCUAAUACCGUAUAAUGACUUCGGUCCAAAGAUUUAUCGCCCAAGGAUGAGCCCGCGUAAGAUUAGCUAGUUGGUGGGGUAAAGGCCUACCAAGGCUACGAUCUUUAGCUGGUCUGAGAGGAUGAUCAGCCACACUGGGACUGAGACACGGCCCAGACUCCUACGGGAGGCAGCAGUGGGGAAUAUUGGACAAUGGGCGAAAGCCUGAUCCAGCAAUGCCGCGUGAGUGAUGAAGGCCUUAGGGUUGUAAAGCUCUUUUACCCGGGAUGAUAAUGACAGUACCGGGAGAAUAAGCUCCGGCUAACUCCGUGCCAGCCGCCGCCGUAAU